AGCGGCGAGCUAUACAUGCAAGUCGAGCGAAUGGAUUGAGAGCUUGCUCUUAUGAAGUUAGCGGCGGACGGGUGAGUAACACGUGGGUAACCUGCCCAUAAGACUGGGAUAACUCCGGGAAACCGGGGCUAAUACCGGAUAACAUUUUGAACUGCAUGGUUCGAAAUUGAAAGGCGGCUUCGGCUGUCACUUAUGGAUGGACCCGCGUCGCAUUAGCUAGUUGGUGAGGUAACGGCUCACCAAGGCAACGAUGCGUAGCCGACCUGAGAGGGUGAUCGGCCACACUGGGACUGAGACACGGCCCAGACUCCUACGGGAGGCAGCAGUAGGGAAUCUUCCGCAAUGGACGAAAGUCUGACGGAGCAACGCCGCGUGAGUGAUGAAGGCUUUCGGGUCGUAAAACUCUGUUGUUAGGGAAGAACAAGUGCUAGUUGAAUAAGCUGGCACCUUGACGGUACCUAACCAGAAAGCCACGGCUAACUACGUGCCAGCAGCCGCGGUAAUACGUAGGUGGCAAGCGUUAUCCGGAAUUAUUGGGCGUAAAGCGCGCGCAGGUGGUUUCUUAAGUCUGAUGUGAAAGCCCACGGCUCAACCGUGGAG
Molecule: ribosomal RNA, 600 nt
Filed under: Bacillus anthracis (anthrax bacterium)
Lineage: Bacteria; Bacillati; Bacillota; Bacilli; Caryophanales; Bacillaceae
Description: bacterial SSU rRNA
Rfam family: Bacterial small subunit ribosomal RNA
Source: RNAcentral